AUCGCUUCUUCGGCUUAUUAGCUUUCGAACUGUGUCAAUGGUUAAGGCAGAGUCCAUGCAUUAGAUAAAUGGUUCCCUAGUAAGAUCAAAGUGUAGUAUCUGUUCUUAUCGUAUUAACCUACGGUAUACACUCAAAUGAGUGUAAUAAAGGUUAUAUGAUUUUUGGAACCUAGGGAAGUCUCGGGGCUUGCUCCGACUUCCCAAGGGUCGUCCCGGCGUUGCACUGCUGCCAGGCUCGGCCCAGUCCCC
Molecule: small nuclear RNA, 249 nt
Filed under: Caenorhabditis japonica
Lineage: Eukaryota; Metazoa; Nematoda; Chromadorea; Rhabditida; Rhabditidae
Description: U2 spliceosomal RNA
Rfam family: U2 spliceosomal RNA
About the family: U2 is a small nuclear RNA (snRNA) component of the spliceosome (involved in pre-mRNA splicing). Complementary binding between U2 snRNA (in an area lying towards the 5' end but 3' to hairpin I) and the branchpoint sequence (BPS) of the intron results the bulging out of an unpaired adenosine, on the BPS, which initiates a nucleophilic attack at the intronic 5' splice site, thus starting the first of two transesterification reactions that mediate splicing.
Source: Rfam by way of RNAcentral